AGAGUUUGAUCAUGGCUCAGAAUCAACGCUGGCGGCGCGCUUAACACAUGCAAGUCGCACGAGAAAGCCGGAGCAAUCUGGUGAGUAAAGUGGCGUACGGGUGAGUAACACGUGGAUGAUCUGCCCUUUAGUGGGGAAUAACCCUGGGAAACCGGGGCUAAUACCGCAUAAGCCUGCAAAGGGAAAGCAGCAAUGCGCUGAAGGAGGAGUCCGCGGCCGAUUAGCUAGUUGGUAGGGUAAUGGCCUACCAAGGCAAUGAUCGGUAGCCGGCCUGAGAGGGCACACGGCCACACUGGCACUGAAACACGGGCCAGACUCCUACGGGAGGCAGCAGUGGGGAAUCUUGCACAAUGGGGGCAACCCUGAUGCAGCGACGCCGCGUGAGCGAUGAAGCCCUUCGGGGUGUAAAGCUCUUUCGGCAGGGAAGAUUAUGACGGUACCUGCAGAAGCAGCUGCGGCUAACUACGUGCCAGCAGCCGCGGUAAUACGUAGGCAGCAAGCGUUGUUCGGAGUUACUGGGCGUAAAGGGUGUGUAGGCGGUUUUCUAAGUCUGGUGUGAAAUCUCCCGGCUCAACUGGGAGGGUGCGCCGAAAACUGGAAGGCUAGAGUGCGGGAUGGGAGAGUGGAAUUCCUGGUGUAGCGGUGAAAUGCGUAGAUAUCAGGAGGAACACCUGUGGUGUAGACGGCUCUCUGGACCGCAACUGACGCUGAGACACGAAAGCGUGGGUAGCAAACAGGAUUAGAUACCCUAGUAGUCC
This 758-nucleotide ribosomal RNA is filed under the name uncultured bacterium. RNAcentral's name for it is "bacterial SSU rRNA". It matches the Rfam family "Bacterial small subunit ribosomal RNA", at positions 8 to 796 of the family's 1533-position model. The record is from RNAcentral.